This 1452-nucleotide long non-coding RNA is filed under the name Sorghum bicolor (sorghum). RNAcentral's name for it is "long non-coding RNA (SBIC_LNC004465)". The record is from RNAcentral. Lineage: Eukaryota; Viridiplantae; Streptophyta; Magnoliopsida; Poales; Poaceae.
UUUAGGUUUAGAGCAAAUCUUAAUUAAUAACAGUCAUGCCUAAACUUGAGAGAUAAUUCAAUUUUGAGAACUAGUCAUGGCAGAGCAACUAUUCAUCAUUUCCAUGUGAGAGCUUAUCAUGAGGGUUCAUAGCAAACUUUAUUUAUUUAUUUAUUUAGCAAACUAAGCAAAGAUAUAUAUAUAUAAGCACAAAAUCUUUAUUUGGGUUUUAUGAUUAUGUAUCUUUUUAUUAUUUGAGUAUAAACGUGAGUAGAACACUUAGCUGGAUAAAUGGUGGUGCUCUCCCCCAAGCUGGAUUUUGACGUAAUUUCUUCUAAUAUAGCUAGCAGGUGGUGGAGGUGUAUUUGAAUAUCGGCAGCACCAUCACAGCGAUUAGGAUGUCCUCCGUCUGCUUAGUCUUCUUUGAUCCUUGAAUUCUGUGGAGCUCAAAUAGACAACAAAGCUUUGUGGAACUAGUUAAGUGUUAGCAUAAAAUCUCUUAGCCAUUAUUAUGUUGAGGUUCCUCUAAUAAAUAUUACUCUCUUUGGUAGAAUCAUAAAUUUAUUUUUAUAUUUUCAUUUUUAUAGGAGAGGAAUAUAUUUAUUUUAUUUUUACGCCACCACAGUGAAUGUACUUAUGGGUUUUAUGCCAUGAGCAUACUCACAUGGGGCUUUCUAUUUUUAUAAUUUUUAUUUUCUUUUCAAGAUAGCAUUAUUAACUAACAAGCCAUUUAAUGAAAGUAAAUAAUUUAAGGGAAAAGGGAAUGCUGAAAGGAUAAAUAUGGAUAACUACCAAUUUUACCUUUCGAUGAGGGUUCAAUGUUUUAAGUCUUCUGAACAAGACUUCUCACCGUGUUCAUUCUUUAGGUGCAUCAUUUGAUUUAGGUGUGGACCUUGACGUCUGCACCUCUUGAUACGGUAUCACCCAUGUUCUUCGUUUACCCAGUAGUUUCAAGUGCGGCGUUGGCAGCAUCCUGCUUAGUGUGUUUGUGCUCGUAGAUCUAGGUUCUUCACUUGGUGGAGUCUGGGAGUUGUAAAAGUCCUCCAUAUUUUGCUCAAAGUGUACCUGCUCAUAGAGACAAGGCAGAGAUCAAGUGCAUGGGUCCUGUUGGUGGAAAAGACCAACAGAACCAAAAGUGUAUUUGUUCUUCUCUAACCUUAAGCAUAGUGAGCAAGACAAAGUUGAUGGAUAAUAAGAUCAUGAGUGUAGUAUUUAAAACAUUUGUCAGAUCAGAACGCCCAACCUAAUGGAAAGAUAAUAUAUCUAUUCUUAUGCCUUUUUAUAUAUAUCUUCCAAAGAUUGUGUGUGCAACAUUUUAGCUCAUAUGAUUAGGAGUAUGGGAUCACAAAGGUGGAAGGACUAAACAUAUUGAAUCGAUUGGGUUGGUUAAUCUAGAGUUAUAAAUCAUACAUGUUUUUCUCUUUUAUUCAUGUGAACGCCAGAACCAAGGAGAAGUUUAUAAAAGUGAUAGUC